AUCCUAACUGCACCCUCUAGUCCAAGGCUCCCAAGUGCCCUGACAUCUGAUACAUCUUAGCACAGAGCAAGCUAACGUGGACUCGUGCCACGCCCCGUUACACACAAGAGGUCAGAGAGGAAGCAGGGCACAGCAGUUUCCCUCUGAGCCAGACCUUGGAGGUGGGCAUGGUAUUUUUGUUUUUCCUUUCACCAAACAAAAGGUUCUGUGUAAAGCAAGGCAUCGUCCUAAUGCAAGAGGAGAGAUCGCUGGGGUCUGGUUAGAAGACCCGGCUCUGCUUUCUCUAACGAAGGUCUUUAUGACAAAUCUGCAUUAGUGCCUUGUCCGAGUUCACUGACCGUCUGCUUCAUGGUGGAGGGACACUGACUCGAAGGCCCCUAAGCAGGGAAGGAAGGUAAGCUUCUGUCCCCUCCCUCCCUAGCUGGUUUCCCUGGCACAUGGUGGUUUCUCUCUCAUUCUCUGCUGCAUGUUGUGACCAGGAGAGGAAAGAAUUCAGCUGGACUAUCUCAAGGCCUGUGUGAUGGAGUUGAAAGUUUUGCUGAUGUGCAUGUUGGUGGUCAAGGAAGGCUUUCUGAACACUUACCUGGUGCCCAUAGAGGUGGGUCACAGAGGUCCUGAGAGCUGGAAGCUGGAAAGAGUCAGUCUGGGGUCCUAAAAGGCAUCUUCUCUUCAGUGCCGACAUUGGGGGCAUAUCUGUGAUGGAAACAGGGUCUCCGCGUGGCCACAGGCACAUUCCAUCUCUUCUGAGCUCAUCCUGACCCUAUGCACUGCAGACCAGGGGUUCUAAGCUGCAGCAUCGUGGGUGGGGCCACCUUGCAGCCUCCUCAGGGUUGAGUUUGUUGCUCUUAUUGAUGAAGAAACUGAGGCUCAGAUGGAUAAAGGGCCUGGCCCAGGGUUACACAGUGCUGAGGCAAGGACAUGAGCCCAGCUUCUCUCACAAGGAAAUCUGCAAGGACGAUCAUUGUGCUGCAAGAGGAGGGGUGGGGGAUCUGAGCUUCUGAGGCAGCCUCCCUCUGCAGCAUUGCCUGUGGUAAGGACACACCACCCUGGCUGCAUAUUAGAAUCACCUGAGCAGCUUUUAAAAUUCCCGGGGCCCAUGUCUUACCUCGAGCCAAUUAAAACAAUCUCUGGAGGGGAGACCCAGGUAUUAGGAAUUUUUCAAAGCUGCCCAGAUGGUUUCAAUGUGCAGCCCAGGUUGAGAACCAUGGUCAAAUGGCAAACUCAGUUGCAGCUGUUGAAAAUUUAUAAAAACGCAAUAAUUUUGGAAUUCUCUUGCUUUAAAAAGGACUAAUAGCUUGCUACUUCUUCCUUCUCUGGUCACUCCGGGGUAGUCAUUUUGCAAGAUAAGGACCUGUGUUAAGUGAGCGUAAAAACAUGAAUAAAAAUUAAAAUAAAUUACUAAGUGAGACCUAAAAGCCAUGAAUAAUGUAACAAGGGGAAGAGCUAGAAGAUCUAGGGCAGAAAGCAAAGUCGAGAAAAUAUAAUAAGAAGAGGGUCACUGGGGAAGCCUCAGUAGGGUCGGAAUACAAAUGGAGGAAGGAAA
Non-coding RNA from Saimiri boliviensis boliviensis (Bolivian squirrel monkey), 1543 nucleotides. The record is from RefSeq and is a predicted model, not a curated record. NCBI's taxonomy places the organism in Eukaryota, Metazoa, Chordata, Mammalia, Primates, Cebidae.